UGCGCAGGUGGGCUUGUAAGUCAGUGGUGAAAUACUGCCGCUUAACGGUAGAACUGCCAUUGAUACUGCAAGUCUUGAGUAUGGUUGAGGUGGCGGAAUGUGUUGUGUAGCGGUGAAAUGCAUAGAUAUGACACAGAACUCCAAUUGCGAAGGCAGCUUACUAAGCCAUUACUGACGCUGAGGCACGAAAGCGUGGGGAGCGAACAGGAUUAGAUACCCUGGUAGUCC
Molecule: ribosomal RNA, 228 nt
Filed under: uncultured bacterium
Lineage: Bacteria
Description: partial 16S ribosomal RNA
Rfam family: Bacterial small subunit ribosomal RNA
Source: RNAcentral